Molecule: ribosomal RNA, 832 nt
Filed under: human gut metagenome
Description: bacterial SSU rRNA
Rfam family: Bacterial small subunit ribosomal RNA
Source: RNAcentral
UCAAUGGACGAGAGUCUGAACCAGCCAAGUCGCGUGAAGGAAGACGGAUCUAUGGUUUGUAAACUUCUUUAGUGCGGGAACAAAGCGGCGUCGUGACGCCUGAUGAGUGUACCGCAAGAAUAAGCAUCGGCUAACUCCGUGCCAGCAGCCGCGGUAAUACGGAGGAUGCGAGCGUUAUCCGGAUUUAUUGGGUUUAAAGGGAGCGCAGGCUGCGAGGCAAGUCAGCGGUCAAAUGUCGGGGCUCAACCCCGGCCUGCCGUUGAAACUGUCCUGCUAGAGUUCGAGUGAGGUAUGCGGAAUGCGUUGUGUAGCGGUGAAAUGCAUAGAUAUGACGCAGAACUCCGAUUGCGAAGGCAGCAUACCAACUCGCGACUGACGCUGAGGCUCGAAAGCGUGGGUAUCGAACAGGAUUAGAUACCCUGGUAGUCCACGCAGUAAACGAUGAAUACUAACUGUUCGGAGGGCGACCUCUGAGUGGUAAAGCGAAAGCGUUAAGUAUUCCACCUGGGGAGUACGCCGGCAACGGUGAAACUCAAAGGAAUUGACGGGGGCCCGCACAAGCGGAGGAACAUGUGGUUUAAUUCGAUGAUACGCGAGGAACCUUACCCGGGCUCAAACGUCGGGCGAAUCAUCCUGAAAGGGGUGAGCCAGCAAUGGCGGCCGACGAGGUGCUGCAUGGUUGUCGUCAGCUCGUGCCGUGAGGUGUCGGCUUAAGUGCCAUAACGAGCGCAACCCCCGCGUCCAGUUGCCAGCGAGUAGAGUCGGGCACUCUGGACGGACUGCCGGCGCAAGCCGCGAGGAAGGCGGGGAUGACGUCAAAUCAGCACGGCCC